GUGAGUGGUCAUAAACAUUUUGACUGAAAAAAUUAGAUGUUAAAUGUGAAAUAAAUUUAUAUGCAAUGCAUUUUGCAGACGAUCCUAAAAUUGCAAUCAAAUUACACAAUGAUUCAAAUGUUGUCUCUUGUGAGACUGAAAGCUCCCUACCUAUGACUGUAUCCUGGAAGAUCUGCCCAUUACAUACUAAUUGUAAUAAUGAAGGCUGGAAAGAGAUAUCUGUUGCCCAGCCCAAGGUCAUGGAUUCAGAUCAGUUCUGUCAGAAGAAAAUUUACUUUGCCAGACCCAGAUCGAACAGCGAGGACCAUUUUAUGAAAUGCUGCAUCUCUAACAAAGCAGGGACUGAAUGUAGUGACCAAAUACGACUUCCAACAAUUUUCCCCAGUAUUGAUUAUGUGAUUUGUUUCCUGGUCAUCUUUAUUCUCCUCGCGAUCAUCUUUGCCUUAAUCAUCUUCAUCAGAGUUAAGGUAAACCUAUACCUGCUUCUGUCAUAAUAACAAACAAACACCUAGAAUCAUAGCUCUUACCUCUUCAAACACAUGCUCUCACUCCUUUGUUACAGAAGCCUGGGUACCAGUGUCAGAUCCAGAUGAUUCAGAUGAUCGGACCCAACGACAAUGACUACAUAUAUAUUGACUUCAGGGAGUUUAAGUAUGACCUGAAAUGGGAAUUUCCACGAGAAAAUCUUGAGCUUGGUAAAGAUCACCAGGAACUUUCUUUAGACUUGCUAUAUAUAACGUAUUAGGUGUUACGCAUUUGUUUUGUGUGCUUUCUAAAGGGAAUGAGCUGGGAUCUGGAGCUUUUGGGAUGGUUGUACAGGCUACAGCAUAUGGGAUCAGCAAGCCUGGAGUGUCUAUUCAGGUAGCAGUAAAAAUGUUAAAGGGUACGUAAUGAUAUAAUUAGCAUUAAGUCUCUACAAAGCUAAAUAUAUCAACUGCAUACAUC
RNAcentral lists this long non-coding RNA (945 nucleotides) under Sinocyclocheilus grahami. Its description in RNAcentral is "lncRNA (ENSSGRG00000025057.1)". Lineage: Eukaryota; Metazoa; Chordata; Actinopteri; Cypriniformes; Cyprinidae. The record is from RNAcentral.